GUCCCCAUCGUCUAGCGGUCAGGACGCCGCCCUUUCAAGGCGGAAACACGGGUUCAAUUCCCGUUGGGGGCA
This 72-nucleotide transfer RNA is filed under the name Eggerthella sp. CAG:298. It matches the Rfam family "tRNA". From Rfam's summary of the family: Transfer RNA (tRNA) molecules are approximately 80 nucleotides in length. Lineage: Bacteria; Bacillati; Actinomycetota; Coriobacteriia; Eggerthellales; Eggerthellaceae. The record is from Rfam by way of RNAcentral.